RNAcentral lists this non-coding RNA (151 nucleotides) under uncultured Clostridium sp. RNAcentral's name for it is "Moco (molybdenum cofactor) riboswitch". It matches the Rfam family "Molybdenum/Tungsten riboswitch aptamer (Moco RNA motif)". Lineage: Bacteria; Bacillati; Bacillota; Clostridia; Eubacteriales; Clostridiaceae. The record is from RNAcentral.
UAAAUAAUCUCCGAACAACUGUGUCUAAGGAAUAAAAUCUAUGAUACUUUUGUCAAACAGAAAUAAAUAUUGUUUACUUUUUAAUUCUGUUUCAGGGUUUUGCGGGAAACUGCCCAGCCUUCCGUGUUUGAAAAGGAGGAUUAUUUAAACU